Molecule: ribosomal RNA, 837 nt
Filed under: uncultured bacterium
Lineage: Bacteria
Description: bacterial SSU rRNA
Rfam family: Bacterial small subunit ribosomal RNA
Source: RNAcentral
GAACGGGUGAGUAACACGUGGGUGAUCUGCCCUGCACUUUGGGAUAAGCCUGGGAAACUGGGUCUAAUACCGAAUAGGACCACGCGCUUCAUGGUGUGUGGUGGAAAGCUUUUGCGGUGUGGGAUGGGCCCGCGGCCUAUCAGCUUGUUGGUGGGGUAAUGGCCUACCAAGGCGACGACGGGUAGCCGGCCUGAGAGGGUGACCGGCCACACUGGGACUGAGAUACGGCCCAGACUCCUACGGGAGGCAGCAGUGGGGAAUAUUGCACAAUGGGCGCAAGCCUGAUGCAGCGACGCCGCGUGAGGGAUGACGGCCUUCGGGUUGUAAACCUCUUUCAAUAGGGACGAAGCGCAAGUGACGGUACCUAUAGAAGAAGCACCGGCCAACUACGUGCCAGCAGCCGCGGUAAUACGUAGGGUGCGAGCGUUGUCCGGAAUUACUGGGCGUAAAGAGCUCGUAGGUGGUUUGUCGCGUUGUUCGUGAAAACUCACAGCUUAACUGUGGGCGUGCGGGCGAUACGGGCAGACUAGAGUACUGCAGGGGAGACUGGAAUUCCUGGUGUAGCGGUGGAAUGCGCAGAUAUCAGGAGGAACACCGGUGGCGAAGGCGGGUCUCUGGGCAGUAACUGACGCUGAGGAGCGAAAGCGUGGGGAGCGAACAGGAUUAGAUACCCUGGUAGUCCACGCCGUANACGGUGGGUACUAGGUGUGGGUUCCUUCCUUGGGAUCCGUGCCGUAGCUAACGCAUUAAGUACCCCGCCUGGGGAGUACGGCCGCAAGGCUAAAACUCAAAGGAAUUGACGGGGACCCGCACAAGCGGCGGAGCANNNGNAUUAAU